UGUGUAUGUACAGAAGGGCUACCAGGA
RNAcentral lists this non-coding RNA (27 nucleotides) under Homo sapiens (human). Lineage: Eukaryota; Metazoa; Chordata; Mammalia; Primates; Hominidae. The record is from RNAcentral.